AGAGUUUGAUCCUGGCUCAGGACGAACGCUGGCGGCGUGCUUAACACAUGCAAGUCUACGGAAAGGAGAAGCAGUAAUGUUUUUCCGGACAGUGGCGCAAGGGUGCGUAACGCGUAAGCAAUCUACCUUUAGGAGAGGAAUAACUUCGAGAAAUCUUGGCUAAUACCUCAUGAUGCAGCGGCACCGCAUGGUGAUGUUGUUAAAGUUGCAGUAAUGUAACACCUAGAGAUGAGCUUGCGUCUGAUUAGCUAGUUGGUGAGGUAACGGCCCACCAAGGCUACGAUCAGUAGCUGGUCUGAGAGGAUGAUCAGCCACACUGGAGCUGAGAUACGGUCCAGACUCCUACGGGAGGCAGCAGUGAGGAAUAUUGGGCAAUGCCCGCAAGGGUGACCCAGCAACGCCGCGUGGAGGAUGAAGGCCGUAAGGUUGUAAACUCCUGUGAGAAGGGAUGAAAACUCUAAUUUCGUAAGGGAUUAGAUUUGACCGUACCUUCAGAGGAAGCCCCGGCUAACUACGUGCCAGCAGCCGCGGUAAUACGUAGGGGGCAAGCGUUGUCCGGAUUUACUGGGUGUAAAGGGCGCGCAGGCGGGUCGGCUAGUCAGAGGUGAAAGCCUGCAGCUUAACUGCAGAACUGCCUUUGAUACUGCCGAUCUUGAGUUCGGAAGAGAGAAGCGGAAUUCCAGGUGUAGUAGUGAAAUACGUAGAUAUCUGGAAGAACACCAGUGGCGAAGGCGGCUUCUUGGUCCGCAACUGACGCUGAGGCGCGAAAGCGUGGGUAGCAAACAGGAUUAGAUACCCUGGUAGUCC
RNAcentral lists this ribosomal RNA (807 nucleotides) under uncultured bacterium. RNAcentral's name for it is "bacterial SSU rRNA". It matches the Rfam family "Bacterial small subunit ribosomal RNA", at positions 8 to 796 of the family's 1533-position model. The record is from RNAcentral.